GGCGCACGGGUGAGGAACACGUAGCUGAUCGANNCCUCAGUGCGGGANUACGGUUCGAAAGAGCUGGCUAUACCGCAUUAGCUCACGGGCUUUAGAGACCUGUGAGANAAGGCUUGCUGCUGGAGGACGAGGCUGCGGCCCAUCAGCUAGAUGGCGAGGGUACGGCUCACCAUGGCGACGACGGGUAGGGGACCUGAGAGGGUGACCCCCCACACUGGGACUGAGACACGGNCCAGACUCCUACGGGAGGCAGCAGUGAGGGAUCUUGCACAAUGGGCGCAAGCCUGAUGCAGCGACGCCGCGUGAGCGAAGAGGGCCUUCGGGUCGUAAAGCUCUUUUCUGCGUGACGAGACAGGACGGUAGCGCAGGAAGAAGUCUCGGCUAACUACGUGCCAGCAGCCGCGGUAAAACGUAGGAGACAAACGUUAUCCGGAGUUACUGGGCGUAAAAGGGCGUGCAGGCGGCCAUUUAAGUUUCGGGCGUGAAAGCGCCUGGCUAAACCGGGCGAGGUCGUCGGAGACUGGAUGGCUCGAGGGUGAUAGAGGCGGGUGGAAUUCCGGGUGUAGUGGUGAAAUGCGUAGAGAUCCGGAGGAACACCAGUGGCGAAGGCGACCCGCUGGGUCACACCUGACGCUGAGACGCGACAGCAUGGGGAGCGAACGGGUUUAGAAACCCCGGUAGUCCAUGCCGUAAACGAUGCCAACUCGAUGUCUGGGACGGGAAACCGUUCUGGGUAUCCCAGCUAACGCGGUAAGUUGGCCGCCUGGGGAGUACGGUCGCAAGGCUAAAACUCAAAGGAAUUGACGGGGGCCCGCACAAGCAGCGGAGCGUGUGGUUUAAUUCGAGGCUACACGAAAAACCUUACCUGGGUUUGACAUGUCGGUGGUAGGAAACCGAAAGGGGCCCGACCCCGCAAGGGGAGCCGACACAGGUGCUGCAUGGCUGUCGUCAGCUCGUGUCGUGAGAUGUUGGGUUAAGUCCCGCAACGAGCGCAACCCUCGCCCCUAGUUGCCAACGGGUCAAGCCGGGAACUCUAGGGGGACUGCCCCGGUUAACGGGGAGGAAGGUGGGGAUGACGUCAAGUCAUCAUGGCCUUUAUGCCCAGGGCUACACACGUGCUACAAUGGCCGGUACAAAGGGUCGCAAACGCGCGAGCGGGAGCUAAUCCCAAAAAGCCGGUCCCAGUUGGGAUCGCAGUCUGCAACUCGACUGCGUGAACGCGGAAUCGCUAGUAAUCGCGAAUCAGC
Molecule: ribosomal RNA, 1247 nt
Filed under: uncultured bacterium
Lineage: Bacteria
Description: bacterial SSU rRNA
Rfam family: Bacterial small subunit ribosomal RNA
Source: RNAcentral